Molecule: long non-coding RNA, 495 nt
Filed under: Triticum aestivum (bread wheat)
Lineage: Eukaryota; Viridiplantae; Streptophyta; Magnoliopsida; Poales; Poaceae
Description: long non-coding RNA (TAES_LNC016455)
Source: RNAcentral
GGACUUCUGGUUUGAAUUAAUUCAAGACAUAACAUGUGAGCAAUGGCUGUGAGGUACCAAGUUUCUAACUUAAUAACAAUGGAGAUGAACAUGAAGAGCCACAAAGUAUAACACUAAUUUCAAUCUCAACAAUGCAUAACGUUUUGAUCUUAAAGAAAGAACUAGCUUAAAGAUAAGGCACAGAUGCUUGCAGAUCUGAAUAUUUGACAAAGAGAUAGGAAUUCAAGACAUUUCUCAAGAUGUUCAGUUAUAAAAUAGUUCCAGCUACAAUAACGAUCUGAUUACAAAUCCAUGUGUAACGCCACUGUUUUAUGCUACAUUUGUUAUUCAGGUCCAGUAGCCAGUGGUUCUUUGCGUAAUUGUUCAAAAGGACAUUUUGAGGUGCUUGUCCAGAUGUGAUUAUUUCUCUUCAGUAACAGGUCAAUCAUAUAUUUCUUUCAUCUAACUUUGUGCUUUGUUAUCUACAAACUAAUAGGUCGUUCUGUCUACAUACUA